Molecule: ribosomal RNA, 464 nt
Filed under: uncultured bacterium
Lineage: Bacteria
Description: bacterial SSU rRNA
Rfam family: Bacterial small subunit ribosomal RNA
Source: RNAcentral
AAUCAACGCUGGCGGCGUGCCUCAGACAUGCAAGUCGAACGAUUAAAGCUCUCUUCGGAGAGUGCAUAGAGUGGCGCACGGGUGAGUAACACGUAAGUAAUCUACCUUCGAGUGGGGAAUAACGUCCGGAAACGGACGCUAAUACCGCAUAAUGCAGCGGCAUCGUAAGAUGACAGUUGUUAAAGAUUUAUCGCUUGAAGAGGAGCUUGCGGCAGAUUAGCUAGUUGGUAAGGUAAUGGCUUACCAAGGCUACGAUCUGUAACCGGUCUUAGAGGACGGUCGGUCACACUGACACUGAAUAACGGGUCAGACUCCUACGGGAGGCAGCAGUCGGGAAUUUUGGGCAAUGGGCGAAAGCCUGACCCAGCAACGCCGCGUGAAGGAUGAAGUAUUUCGGUAUGUAAACUUCGAAGAAUAGGAAGAAUAAAUGACGGUACUAUUUAUAAGGUCCGGCUAACUACGUG